CGUUUCCUAGCGCCCGAGCCAUGGUGGCCAAACAGCGCAUCCGGAUGGCUAACGAGAAGCACAGCAAAAAUAUCACCCAGAGGGGGAAUGUAGCCAAAACCCUGAGGCCGCAAGAAGAGAAAUAUCCUGUGGGCCCAUGGCUGUUGGCACUGUUUGUUUUUGUUGUCUGCGGCUCAGGUCGACCACAUAAGCACUGGCCUUUCCUGGAGACUGCCCGAACUAUCUUGAAAUUGUGACACCCAGAGGGAGUCACAGCCCCAAGACUGGCAAGUUUGAGGAACUGAGCAGCCCUGGGAGAAACCUUUCUGUUUCACCACAAAGGAAAGCUUGAGGACAUGCGUCUGCUCUGGAACUCCUGCCUCAGGAUCUGAGAUGGACGGUCUGAAAAAGAUGUCUCAUCAGCCACUGGCUCCCUCAAGCUAUCUUCCAGAUCAUUCAGAGCAUAAGGAUGGGCAUGUGAGCGGGCUGGGCUGUGACACGGCCCCCUGCCGCUGGAGGGUGGAGGCCACUUCAGCUCUUAGCCGGGUAUCUGUGGGAAGCUGACAAGCCACCCAGAAGAGAAAAAAAGGCUCCCUCAACUGUUCCCUGAUCACUUCAUCGUGGAUGUCAGACCAAAUUUCUUUCUCACAGGACAUCUCGGUACAUCUGUGUUCUCAAGCGGAAAGGACAUUUUGCUUUGCAGUUGGCAGGAUUGGUAGCUCUCCGGGUGUCUGCAGCAGAGCUGUCUGUCUGCUUUUGCCCUGGGUUUCACUGAUGUCUGCAUGUGGGCUUCUGAAUGAUCACCGCUUUACUUUCUAUGGAUACAAGCUCUGCUCCAUUGGGAAUUGCUUUUACAAAUAAAUGUCU
This is an RNA transcript of Balaenoptera ricei (Rice's whale), 846 nucleotides long. It is a transcript of the gene named stress associated endoplasmic reticulum protein family member 2, with no coding region annotated. The record is from RefSeq and is a predicted model, not a curated record. Lineage: Eukaryota; Metazoa; Chordata; Mammalia; Artiodactyla; Balaenopteridae. The transcript is spliced from 4 exons.